GGUGGCUCAGUGGUAGAGUGCUUGCCUCACAUGCAUGAGGUCCUGGGUUCGAUUCCUCAGCACCA
This is a non-coding RNA of Dipodomys ordii (Ord's kangaroo rat), 65 nucleotides long. The record is from Rfam. Lineage: Eukaryota; Metazoa; Chordata; Mammalia; Rodentia; Heteromyidae.